GACGGAGGGUGCUAGCGUUGUUCGGAAUCACUGGGCGUAAAGGGCGCGUAGGCGGCCUGGCCAGUCGGCUUUGUGAAAGCCCGGGGCUCAACCCCGGAGGUGCGGCCGAGACUGCGAGGCUGGAGGCCGGAAGAGGAGGGUGGAAUACCCAGUGUAGAGGUGAAAUUCGUAGAUAUUGGGUGGAACACCGGUGGCGAAAGCGGCUCUCUGGUCCGGACCUGACGCUGAGGCGCGAAAGCGUGGGGAGCAAACAGG
This 255-nucleotide ribosomal RNA is filed under the name uncultured bacterium. RNAcentral describes it as "partial 16S ribosomal RNA". It matches the Rfam family "Bacterial small subunit ribosomal RNA", at positions 524 to 776 of the family's 1533-position model. The record is from RNAcentral.